GACGAACGCUGGCGGCGUGCCUAAUACAUGCAAGUUGAGCGCUGAAGGUUGGUCCUUGUACCAACUGGAUGAGCAGCGAACGGGUGAGUAACGCGUGGGGAAUCUGCCUUUGAGCGGGGGACAACAUUUGGAAACGAAUGCUAAUACCGCAUAACAACUUUAAACACAAGUUUUAAGCUUGAAAGAUGCAAUUGCAUCACUCAAAGAUGAUCCCGCGUUGUAUUAGCUAGUUGGUGAGGUAAAGGCUCACCAAGGCGAGGAUACAUAGCCGACCUGAGAGGGUGAUCGGCCACAUUGGGACUGAGACACGGCCCAAACUCCUACGGGAGGCAGCAGUAGGGAAUCUUCGGCAAUGGACGAAAGUCUGACCGAGCAACGCCGCGUGAGUGAAGAAGGUUUUCGGAUCGUAAAACUCUGUUGGUAGAGAAGAACGUUGGUGAGAGUGGAAAGCUCAUCAAGUGACGGUAACUACCCAGAAAGGGACGGCUAACUACGUG
This 497-nucleotide ribosomal RNA is filed under the name uncultured bacterium. Its description in RNAcentral is "partial 16S ribosomal RNA". It matches the Rfam family "Bacterial small subunit ribosomal RNA", at positions 28 to 507 of the family's 1533-position model. The record is from RNAcentral.